CCUGAUGCAGCAACGCCGCGUGAGGGACGACGGCCUUCGGGUUGUAAACCUCUUUUAGCAAGGAAGAAGCGAAAGUGACGGUACUUGCAGAAAAAGCGCCGGCUAACUACGUGCCAGCAGCCGCGGUAAUACGUAGGGCGCAAGCGUUAUCCGGAAUUAUUGGGCGUAAAGAGCUCGUAGGCGGUUUGUCGCGUCUGCUGUGAAAACCCGAGGCUCAACCUCGGGCCUGCAGUGGGUACGGGCAGACUAGAGUGCGGUAGGGGAGAUUGGAAUUCCUGGUGUAGCGGUGGAAUGCGCAGAUAUCAGGAGGAACACCGAUGGCGAAGGCAGAUCUCUGGGCCGUAACUGACGCUGAGGAGCGAAAGGGUGGGGAGCAAACAGGCUUAGAUACCCUGGUAGUCCACCCCGUAAACGUUGGGAACUAGUUGUGGGGUCCAUUCCACGGAUUCCGUGACGCAUCUAACGCAUUAAGUUCCCCGCCUGGGGAGUACGGCCGCAAGGCUAAAACUCAAAGGAAUUGACGGGGACCCGCACAAGCGGCGGAGCAUGCGGAUUAAUUCGAUGCAACGCGAAGAACCUUACCAAGGCUUGACAUAUACGAGAACGCUGCAGAAAUGUAGAACUCUUUGGACACUCG
RNAcentral lists this ribosomal RNA (637 nucleotides) under Microbacterium sp. So2Pw_1254. Its description in RNAcentral is "bacterial SSU rRNA". It matches the Rfam family "Bacterial small subunit ribosomal RNA", at positions 382 to 1030 of the family's 1533-position model. The record is from RNAcentral. Lineage: Bacteria; Bacillati; Actinomycetota; Actinomycetes; Micrococcales; Microbacteriaceae.